Long non-coding RNA from Tripterygium wilfordii, 560 nucleotides. RefSeq lists it as uncharacterized. The record is from RefSeq and is a predicted model, not a curated record. The transcript has 3 exons. Lineage: Eukaryota; Viridiplantae; Streptophyta; Magnoliopsida; Celastrales; Celastraceae.
CUUACUUUUUUUAAAAAAGAGACAAAGGUGUCUCUCCCUUCUCUCCAAAUAGAGACCUUUAUCGGUAAUCACUAUUCCGGCGACAUUUCGGCGAAGCUCCGGCCGGGAAGGGUCAUUCUUAGGUGGAGUCACACACAUAUUUUAAUUUUCUACAAGAAAAAGAGAAGGAUUAAGAUUCAAGUGUGGUUCUUGAACCAAUUCAAGAAGAGGCUUGGAAUUCUUGAGUUGGUGAGAACUAAGAAGUUCCAAGGUUAGUUUGCUUCUAAUGUAGGUCCUCCAUAUCAGCAGAAAGGGGCGUGAUUAUGGUAGCCUGGGCGGAUGAUUGAUUUAUGUUUUGGACUUUGGGUGUCUUUUAUUUGAUUGGAUAUAUAUUUAUAUAUUAUGAGAUUGUUCCUCUGGAUUUAUAUUGGACGACCAAGAUGGUGCUUCGGAUUAUUGGGACUCUUGUGUUGGGUAGUAUGGAGGUGCCUGUGGGCCCUGAGGGUCUUGGAUUAGAUUUUUUUGGAUGUUGGAUUAUGUUUGGGUUAUGUUUAGAUAUUAUGCUAUUUUUGGAUUUUCUA